RNAcentral lists this ribosomal RNA (293 nucleotides) under uncultured eukaryote. RNAcentral's name for it is "partial 18S ribosomal RNA". It matches the Rfam family "Eukaryotic small subunit ribosomal RNA", at positions 6 to 289 of the family's 1831-position model. The record is from RNAcentral.
GGUUGAUCCUGCCAGUAGUCAUAUGCUUGUCUCAAAGAUUAAGCCAUGCAUGUCUAAGUAUAAACAUCUUUAUACAGUGAAACUGCGUACAGCUCAUUAUAUCAGUUAUGAUUUAUUUGAUGGUACCUUACUACAUGGAUACCCGUAGUAAUUCUAGAGCUAAUACAUGCGUACAAUCCCGACUACUCGCUGGAAGGGAUGUCUUUAUUAGAUUCAAACCCAAUGCAGUAGCAAUACUGGUCCACAUUGGUGACUCAUAGUAACGUGUCGAAUCGCAUGGCCUUGUGCUGGCG